CACUAGCGUAUAUUAAAGUUGUUGCAGUUAAAAAGCUCGUAGUUGGAUUUCUGACAUUUUUUACACCUCUGGUCGUUGACUAUGCUUUUUUUUAAUUAAAAAAGAUUUGUUGAGCAAUUGGUACUGCGAUGGUGUGUGUCAUCCUUUCACUGUUGUCAGAAUCUUUGAUUGAUUUCAAGGAUUUUGAAUUUUUAUCAACGUGAAUCGUUUACUUUGAAAAAAUUAGAGUGUUUAAAGCAGAAGAAUUUUUUUUAUCUUCAUUGAAUACAUUAGCAUGGAAUAAUAAGAUAGGACUUUGGUUCUAUUUUGUUGGUUUCUAGAACCGAAGUAAUGAUUGAUAGGGAUAGUUGGGGGUGCUCUUAUUCAGCCGCCAGCGGUGAAAUGCUUGGAUUGGCUGAAGAAGAACUUAUGCGAAAGCAUUCACCAAGGAUAUUUUCUUUAA
Molecule: ribosomal RNA, 442 nt
Filed under: uncultured eukaryote
Lineage: Eukaryota
Description: partial 18S ribosomal RNA
Rfam family: Eukaryotic small subunit ribosomal RNA
Source: RNAcentral